RNAcentral lists this long non-coding RNA (1839 nucleotides) under Macaca fascicularis (crab-eating macaque). Its description in RNAcentral is "lncRNA (ENSMFAG00000058636.1)". Lineage: Eukaryota; Metazoa; Chordata; Mammalia; Primates; Cercopithecidae. The record is from RNAcentral.
GCUCCUCAUCACCAGAGGUAUGCAAGCUUAGUAGGGACACCAUAGAGAGAAGUCAAACAUCAGAAGAGGUUGGGCAUCAUAGCCUUUCCUACCACCAGCCUCGGAUCUCACAUGCCAGCUCUAGCUGCUUUGGGAAAAUCAUGAGCUGAGCCUUCCUGCAGCCUGGAUGUCAGAUUCCCAGCCAGACAUGACAUCAGUUCUGCCCUAACUUUGCACAAGGGCCUCUUGGACCUCCUACGUCCUACCUCCCACUUCCUUUCCACUGCUGCCUCCUGCCUUCCCAGGGGACACCAGGCCUGACCAAAGAGACUUGGAGUCUGGUUGUGAGAUGGAGGUCCCCGAGGAACAUUCAGCUGAUGGCCUUCCGCCCGGCAGGAAUGAGACAAAGGGGGCCAGGGUCCCUGGGAUCCCUGUUCACACGCUCCAGAGAGUCUGCGUGGAAAUUCCAGGAGGGUCACAGGAAAGCUUCAAAUUUAGAACCACGAUGCUUUCUUUUUUUCCCCCUUUCUCUUCUGUUCCAUCCUUUCCCUCAGUGGUCGGAGGGGGUGUCAUAGGAGGCUGGGAAAGGAAAGCAAGAAUCCUCUUGGGCUGAGUCACAGAAAAAGCAUGGAGAGACGGAGGGUGUGGAGUAGAUUGGGAGGCCCACCAGACAGGGCUUGGGGAAGUGGACAGCAGCAUGGGAGAGGAUGGAGAGGACCUAGAAGUCAAGGGCAUGGCCAAGCACCUGUGAGGGUCCUGGAGCAGUGGGCAACUACAUCGCCCGGGCCAGCAGCCCUCCCUAGAUACUCAAGACCAGAGCUGCCAGAACCUGGGAUCAAGUUGGGUUCAAGUUGGGUUCAGAGAGUCAGCCCAGGGGUUUCUAGAAUAGAGACAGAAGGAUCUUGGGAAUGCGGCUUCCAGGAAUCUCAGGCAAUGUGCCCCCACCUCACACUGACUGCAGAGCUCAGAGUCAUACAACGUCCAUCACGCUCGGAGUCAUACAACAUCCAUCACAUUCACUCUGGCGCCCCUGGUAGAUGCUUAAAUAUUCCUGGUGUUCAAUCCCAUACUCAUUGCAUCAUAGUUCUUUUAGAGCUGAGGGACCUUAAAGAGGAUCAGGGCCUAUCUCCUUGUGUUAUAGAUGCAGAAACUGAGGCCCAGUGACAAGGAAAGACAUGCCCAAAAUCAUGCUGCCAGACUGACCACAUCCUUUGCUUCUUCUCUGCCUUCUAGCCAAAGAUGGAGACUAUGGUACACUCUUCACAGUCAAGGGCAGGGGACAGAGGAGAGGCGGUGCCCAGGCAGGAUGCAACUAUCUCCAAGAGAUAGUUAGAGGAUGGCAGCCUAUCUUGAGUUCUGGCUGCUCUGCCCAGGAGGUCCCUUUGAACGGCCAGAGAUGGUCCCCAAUGCUGUUGGCCUCCUGCAGAGGAAAGAGCCCAAGGCUAGGAAUGGAAAUUCUUGGUUCUAUUCCUGGCUGUGCCCUAACUCUUCAUAUGACCUUCAAUGUGACCUUGAGCAUGCACCUUCCUCUGGCCUCAGUGUGUCCAGUGAGAGGCUAGACCCAGCCAGGCAUGGUGACUCACUCCUAUAAUCUGAGCACUUUAGGAGGCUGAGGCAGGCAGAUCAUGAGGUCAGGAGUUUGAGAUCAGCCUGACCAACAUGGUGAAACCCUGUCUCUACUAAAAAUACAACAAAUUAGCCAGGUGUGGUGGUGGGUGCCUGUAAUCCCAGCUACUCAGGAGGCUAUCGCAGGAGAAUCACUUGAACCCCGGAGGUGGAGGUUGCAGUGAGCCAAUAUCACGCCACUGUACUCCAGCCUGGGCGACAGAGCAAGACUGUCUCAAAAAAAAAAAAAAAAAA